UGUACACACAAUGCAGCAAACCAGCGAACUGUUGUUGUCCCCCGAGGGGCCUCAUCCGGAGGUGAGGCCGUCGAUGGCGUGGAUCGGCCGAGAGGCUGGCCCGUGGGCAAGAUGGGGUUCUUCGCUGUCGACUGGAGUGCCCCGCACUUGGCGAUUCCUGUCGUCCGAGGCUAGCAUCCCCCCUGAUGGGGGGAAAGCAAGCUGAUGGCGGUUGGGGUCGGGCCCUCCCCUCCCCCUUUGUCCCCGUCUUUGGGGGCUCUGGGGCCGUUUUUCUUUCACAAGCACCUUGAGGAACAUGAAUGGAGAGACUGAGCUUGGGUUUCGGCACUGCCUUCGUGGGCGGUGUGGAGCUCGAGCCAAAAACCAAAAUAAUGACUCUCAGCAACGGAUAUCUUGGCUCUUGCAACGAUGAAGAACGCAGCGAAAUGCGAUACCUAGUGUGAAUUGCAGAAUUCCGCGAAUCAUCGAGUCUUUGAACGCAAGUUGCGCCCGAGGCUUGUCCCGAGGGCAUGCCUGCCUGAGCGUCACCGCACUCCCACCUGGAAAUACCUCUCCAGUGUGGAAAUGGCCGUCCGGGACCCAGCUUGGAAAAGCUAUGGGUUGCGGUCGGCUGAAAUGCAACGAUUUGGAUACAGCCGGGGGGAGAGGCCGCGAGAAGGUGAUCCGCUCCGUGCUGGGCGGAGUCUAAUUGGACAGCGCCUCUCCCGUUUGGUGAUCCGGUUGGCGACUAGGAGGGGGAGUCUUUUGAUUCCCUCCCCGCGUCGAUGGGGGGGAGAGAGUGGGGGAAAUUCUGCACUCCUUGUCUCCCUACGGCUUGGACCUCAGAUCAGGCAAGAUUACCCGC
RNAcentral lists this ribosomal RNA (844 nucleotides) under Heteroscyphus billarderii. Its description in RNAcentral is "eukaryotic LSU rRNA". The stretch from base 374 to 527 matches the Rfam family "5.8S ribosomal RNA". The record is from RNAcentral. Lineage: Eukaryota; Viridiplantae; Streptophyta; Jungermanniopsida; Jungermanniales; Lophocoleaceae.